RNAcentral lists this ribosomal RNA (300 nucleotides) under Triticum aestivum (bread wheat). RNAcentral's name for it is "partial small subunit ribosomal RNA". Lineage: Eukaryota; Viridiplantae; Streptophyta; Magnoliopsida; Poales; Poaceae. The record is from RNAcentral.
AUGGGCUGCUCCAGCGCCCGCUCACCCGCACUGGCUGCCGGCGAGAAGGAGCGCCAGUGCGUUGCCCUCGCGCGGUUCGAAGCUCGUCGCCGUGGCCGGGACGAGGGAGGCAUCGUCGUCCUCGAGGACAGCGACGACGACGAUGACGACACGCCGCCACCGCCUAUUCGCCAUGGAGACGCCGGGCAGGGGUCCAGCAGGGGCGGCCGCGCCAUCAAGAAGGAGAAGGCCGAUGACGACGGCGAGGACGGCAGCGACGUCGGUGGCUUCGCCGCGCUGAUCGAGUUCUUCGCCCCAUAG